CGUGUAGGCGGUUUGGUCAGUCAGAUGUGAAAGCCCUGGGCUUAACCCAGGAACUGCGUUUGAUACUGCCAAGCUUGAAUUCGGGAGAGGUGAGUGGAAUUCCCAGUGUAGAGGUGAAAUUCGUAGAUAUUGGGAAGAACACCGGUGGCGAAGGCGGCUCACUGGACCGACAUUGACGCUGAGGCGCGAAAGCGUGGGGAGCAAACAG
This 208-nucleotide ribosomal RNA is filed under the name uncultured Pseudomonadota bacterium. RNAcentral describes it as "uncultured proteobacterium partial 16S ribosomal RNA". It matches the Rfam family "Bacterial small subunit ribosomal RNA", at positions 568 to 775 of the family's 1533-position model. Lineage: Bacteria; Pseudomonadati; Pseudomonadota. The record is from RNAcentral.